RNAcentral lists this ribosomal RNA (850 nucleotides) under uncultured fungus. RNAcentral's name for it is "eukaryotic LSU rRNA". It matches the Rfam family "Eukaryotic large subunit ribosomal RNA", at positions 110 to 821 of the family's 3401-position model. Lineage: Eukaryota; Fungi. The record is from RNAcentral.
CAAAUUUAAAAUCUGGCUGGUUUACUAGUCCGAGUUGUAGUUUAAAGAAGCGUUUUCGGUGGCAGUCUCGGUAUAAAUCCUUUGGAAUAGGGUAUCAUAGAGGGUGAGAAUCCCGUCUUUGACUGAGAAUAUGCUACUAUGUGAUACGUUUUCAAAGAGUCGAGUUGUUUGGGAAUGCAGCUCAAAAUGGGUGGUAAAUUUCAUCUAAGGCUAAAUAUUGGCGAGAGACCGAUAGCGAACAAGUACCGUGAGGGAAAGAUGAAAAGAACUUUGAAAAGAGAGUUAAACAGUGCGUGAAAUUGUUAAAAGGGAAACGCUUGAAACCAGUCAUGCGGUUGGGAAAUCAGUCUCUGACAAGGGGGAAUGGGAGAGGUGUGGACCGCAAGGCCGCUCUUUUUCAUAUCUUUCGUGGCAGGGAUGCACUUUUUCUUCUGCAGGUCAACAUCAGUUUGCUUUGCCGGACAAAACUCUUGGAAAGGUGAUAGCUUAGGCUAUGUUAUAGUCCAAGAGCGAUACGGUGGAGCGGACUGAGGCUUUCGCAGCAUGUGCUCUCGGGCAAGGCUGAUUGGGUGCUAUGGGAUCGUUCAGAGUACAAUACAUGUAUUUUGCUUUGUGUCUUUUCUAUACUCGCUCAACUCGGCUCUUCCAUGCUUAGGAUGUUGACAUAAUGGUUCUAAUCGACCCGUCUUGAAACACGGACCAAGGAGUCUAACAUAUAUGCAAGUGUUUGGGUGGCAAACCCGUGCGCGUAAUGAAAGUGAACGUAGGUGCCAUCCGCAAGGUGCAGCAUCGACCGAUCUUGAUAUUUUUGGAUAGAUUUGAGUAAGAGCAUAUACGCUGGGACCCGAAA